GCUUUGCAGGCUGUUCUUGUGUUUGCAGUCCCUGUGUAUAGCCUUCUCAAAAUACAAACGGCAUAUUUUGAGGUCUGGAGGCUAGAAGUCUGAAAUCAAGAAGUCUGCAUGCCCGUACUCCCUCCACAGGCUCUAGGGGAGGAUCCUUCCUUGCUUCUUCCAGCGUCUGGUGGCUCCAGGUUGAAGACCUGAAAACUGUGACCCCUGUUGCCUAGCAACUGAGAAGCUCAGCCUCAACUCCGGGUGGGGGAGAUGAUGGAGAAAGCUUCCAAGAUCAUCCCCAUAUAGCUGUUCGAGACCUCAAUUUAUUGAACCUAAUGGAGAUGAGUGACAGAAUGGUGAGACUGAUGAUGAUUAUGAUGUGCAGCUUCACUGAGGUCAUGGGCUUGGUUAAUUCCCUUCCAAAGGGAUGGAAGGAGAGAAAGAGAGCAAGAAGGGUGAGUACAGUCAAUUCAGCCCCUCAUUUUCAAGCUAACUGGGAACUGUUUAUAAUGAAUGUCCCUGCCUCCAUCAAGGGCAUUUCUUCCAUUUAACGAGCACGCAGGAAGCAGACAUUGCUCAAGUACAAGGGUUCAGUUUGCAGUGAGCCACAAAUCACAUUUCAUUUAUCAGGCCCUACAGAUGACAGGAUAUCAUCGAAUCCCUGGAGAGCCAUAUUCAUUAAAAAGAAAUCUUAAGUAA
This 681-nucleotide long non-coding RNA is filed under the name Homo sapiens (human). Its description in RNAcentral is "HSALNT0332229". The record is from RNAcentral. Lineage: Eukaryota; Metazoa; Chordata; Mammalia; Primates; Hominidae.